RNAcentral lists this non-coding RNA (29 nucleotides) under Rattus norvegicus (Norway rat). The record is from RNAcentral. Lineage: Eukaryota; Metazoa; Chordata; Mammalia; Rodentia; Muridae.
UGACCACGGGCCGGAAAAGAAAUGGCUGC